Molecule: long non-coding RNA, 499 nt
Organism: Ruditapes philippinarum (Manila clam)
Lineage: Eukaryota; Metazoa; Mollusca; Bivalvia; Venerida; Veneridae
Exons: 3
Source: RefSeq, a predicted model, not a curated record
UUCGGGAAGACGGGCGUGUGCAGAAAAGUAUGCCGACAAUAAACAAUUUGCCGCCAAAAUCAAUGAUGUAACUGGCGUUUGUACUGGUUUAUCAUGGAUCUGGGGGAGUAACCAACAAUAUGACCCUGGAUUUUCCUAUCUCAUGAAGUGAAAAACAAUAGAAAUUUACCAACCGGCGAAAGAUCUUUCAGAUGACUUUGAUUGGCUGAUUCCUGGAAUAUUUGGUGUUGGUGGAGGUUUAGAAUUUUACAUCACGACACCAGAAGGUGGCGCUUGGGUUGGGUUCGCUAUCAACUUAUUGGAUACUACAGAUGUUAAUUUCAACGUGUAUGGGGGAGCCUCUGAGACCGUUAUGUUACAUAUGAUGGUUGUGAGACAGCAUAACGAGCUCGUUUUCAAAACAUGGGUAGGUGGCUGGACCAACAUAUUAAUCAUGGCAAUUCCAUUUUCUGAAGGAAGUGUUACUAAGUUUACUUUAGUACCAGAUGCAGACGUCUUG